Long non-coding RNA from Etheostoma cragini (Arkansas darter), 93 nucleotides. RefSeq lists it as uncharacterized. NCBI's taxonomy places the organism in Eukaryota, Metazoa, Chordata, Actinopteri, Perciformes, Percidae. The transcript has 3 exons. The record is from RefSeq and is a predicted model, not a curated record.
CUUCCUCUCCUGUUGACAAAGACACCUGUCAACCUCUUGCAGCUCGGUGAUUGUCAAGCAGGGCGACAGCAACAUGUCAAACUGGAGCAGGGG